RNAcentral lists this ribosomal RNA (250 nucleotides) under uncultured bacterium. RNAcentral describes it as "partial 16S ribosomal RNA". It matches the Rfam family "Bacterial small subunit ribosomal RNA", at positions 57 to 305 of the family's 1533-position model. The record is from RNAcentral.
GCAAGUCGAGCGAUGAAGCUUCCUUCGGGAAGUGGAUUAGCGGCGGACGGGUGAGUAACACGUGGGUAACCUGCUCAUAGUGGGGGAGAGCCUUUCGAAAGGAAGAUUAAUACCGAAUAAUAUUACGUUAUAGCAUGGUAAUGGAAUUAAGGGAGUGAUUCGCUAUGAGAUGGACCCGCGUCGCAUUAGCUAGUUGGUGAGGUAAUGGCUCACCAAGGCGACGAUGCGUAGCCGACCUGAGAGGGUGAUC